AACUAUAACUGAUUUGCCAUAUUUUAGGUAAAAUGAAUCCUUGCAUCUAUGAUCAACUACGUUACUGGAGCUAGCUAUUUCGUCGACUAGGAAUCCUUCUUAUAAUUGAUUUUAGUUUCCAACUUGCAGCCAAGAAUUUGAUUUAUAUUACUUUGUUUAUUUCCUAUUUCAUAUUUUCCAUUAAUGUUGAAUUUAUGAAAACCCUUUUUUUG
This 212-nucleotide long non-coding RNA is filed under the name Carica papaya (papaya). RNAcentral's name for it is "long non-coding RNA (CPAP_LNC009260)". Lineage: Eukaryota; Viridiplantae; Streptophyta; Magnoliopsida; Brassicales; Caricaceae. The record is from RNAcentral.